AACGAAUGGAGCUAGCCUUGUUCGGAUUUACUGGGCGUAAAGCGCGUGUAGGCGGAUUUGUAAGUUGGGGGUGAGAUCCCGAGGCUCAACCUCGGAACUGCCUCCAAAACUACAAAUCUGGACUCAAGUAGAGGCAAGUGGAAUUGCGAGUGUAGAGGUGAAAUUCGUAGAUAUUCGCAGGAACACCAGUGGCGAAGGCGACUUGCUGGACUUGUAGUGACGCUGAGACGCGAAAGCGUGGGGAGCAAACAGG
Molecule: ribosomal RNA, 253 nt
Filed under: uncultured bacterium
Lineage: Bacteria
Description: partial 16S ribosomal RNA
Rfam family: Bacterial small subunit ribosomal RNA
Source: RNAcentral